This 2237-nucleotide long non-coding RNA is filed under the name Mytilus galloprovincialis (Mediterranean mussel). Lineage: Eukaryota; Metazoa; Mollusca; Bivalvia; Mytilida; Mytilidae. The record is from RNAcentral.
UCAGAGACACAAUGGUUAGUUGGUAGUUCUAGUGGACUUAUAAGUGGUAUUGCUACUUUUAUAUUUACAAGUAGGUGGAAUAAUAGCAAUAAUAGUUUAUUUAUACUUGUAUAUUUUAAUACAAAUGUAGAGAUAGGAACAUACAUUAUAUACCAUCAUUAGCCCAUUUAGUUUUCAUCUUGGUGUCAAAAUUAUAACCUUUUAAUUAUAAAUGUGAAUGUAAAGAUUUAUAUUGUAAUGCAUAUCUGAAAAUACCAAUUUUAAUUAUUAAUUCACGUUUCAUAUCUAUCAUACAGGCUUCAGGCUUUCUCAUGUUUAAAGUGAAUAUUUGUCAAAAAAUAAACUACAUGUCUUUACUAUUUAAAGAAAUAAAAUAUUAUAUGCACAGAUGAAUAUGGGCGCAUUACGUUUUAUUUUCAUAAUAAAAAUCACAAUCUAUCAUCAAUUUUGAACAUAUUUGUUAAUUCAAUUUAUAUAUUAUCCAUUUUGAGCUAGCUACAUGUAGAUCUACUAUGCAUAUUUUUCACAUCCUAUCUAAUAAAAAUAAAUCUCUGCACUCGCUUAUUUUUAAUGCUUGAUGGCAGCGACAAAGUAAAAAUAAUGAGCGAGUGCACAGAUUUAAUUUUAAUUAGACUGUUACACAUCUUACUCGAAGACGUAUUUUCCAAGGCAAAUACGUACAUAUGUUAUAGAUUUGUAUUCAAUAUGCUUCUAUUUAUAUUUAUCCUUUUUGUGCUAAUGCGGCAUAAAGCAACCAACAAUCAAUCAAUCUAUUUAUCUUCCAGGUAGUGGACGGAAAAUGUUUCAUGCAUCAUUUCUAGGAUUUUUGGUUCCAUACAUUGGUUAUGGGUAGGUAGAAUAGAUUUUAUUAAAGAAGCACCACUUGUUUUUUUGUAAUAUUCAAAAAACUACUUUAAAACAAUAUGUUAAUUUUAUUUGAACUGAGAUUGUGAGAUUAUACAUAGACAAUUUUAGUUGUAAUGAAAAAGUUCGACAAAAAAGUCAUCAUUUUAGUUUAUAAUUGAUAUGAAAAUGAUUCUUUAUCCCUGACAAUUCUCUAUGUUGGUGAAAAAGCUAUAUUUCUUAAUUGCAAAAGUGUACAAUUGACAUAAACCAUCAACAAAAUUAUCUGGGUCUUACAUAUUUGAAAUUGAUGAAGGGAUGCUGAAUCAUAUCAAAUGACAUGAAACAGUUGUAUAACAGGACCACCUCCGGUGCAGUAUUUUCUUGCUGGGUUGAAGACCAAUUGGUGGCCAUCAGCUUUUGUCUGCUAUUUUGUCGGGGUUGUUGUCUCUUUGACAUAUUCCCCAUUUCAAGUCUCAAUUUUAUUAUAUUGGGUAUGCGGUUGUUUGACUUCCACUAGAAAAUAAGGUUAUGCUGCUCUAUAACAGUUUUCUUCAUGAGGAUCAGUUCAAUAUUGAUUAAACUGUAAAUUUGUUUUUAAAAUGUUAAAAUCAAUCUUGAUUAAGUUUAUCAAUAAAAUAAAAGAUUCACACAAUUAAAUCAGCUAUAAUUUCUGUUGUUCAUUUUACUGGCACAUUUCUGAAGUUAUAUUUCUAAAUUAUGUUUCUUUUUUUUUCAGAACUUAUUGCUGGUACACCACAUCAAAACAGCAGGCAUACAUAGACAAAAUAAAUGAAACAAUAUCAAAAAUUGACAAAGAUGAACCAAUAUAAACAUACUGUGCCAUUUCAAUAGUUGUGUGUAAUAGUUAUAUUGUAAUAUGAUGGGAUGUGAUCCUGAAACAUUACUUGCCUUGGAUGAGGAUGCAUUUUACAAACUCAUGUUAUUUCAUGUGUUCAUUGUUGAUGUGCCAAACUGUUGAUUUGUCAACUUUCAUCCCUAAAAACAUGAAUACACUUGUCUGACAAUUUUCAAUUUGAAAUACAAGAAGACUUUUGAGUUGAGUUUUUUGUAGAUUCAUUAUUGACUUAGGAUACGUUUAGAUCUCCAAAGUUUAUUGUAGAUAGCUUUAAUGGGUUUUUAUCAAGUCGCAGAUCGCUCGACAUAUGGAUAGUGAUCAGGCGGCUUUAGCUAACUUCUUAAAUACUUAAUGUUUCUGAAGGUACAAAAAGCCUGGAUCCUUCAAGUUAAUACUUUUUACAUAUAUGCUUAUGAUAUGAAGUUUUUGUCUGCCAUAUGUGAUCAUAUGUCCAUUUUCCUUCACUUCAUUUUCAUAGUUCAGUGACUAUUUGAAAAAAAAGUUAAGAUUUUAGUAUUCUUAAUUUUUCUCUUAA